GACGAACGCUGGCGGCGUGCCUAAUACAUGCAAGUUGAGCGCUGAAGGUUGGUACUUGUACCAACUGGAUGAGCAGCGAACGGGUGAGUAACGCGUGGGGAAUCUGCCUUUGAGCGGGGGACAACAUUUGGAAACGAAUGCUAAUACCGCAUAAAAACUUUAAACACAAGUUUUAAGUUUGAAAGAUGCAAUUGCAUCACUCAAAGAUGAUCCCGCGUUGUAUUAGCUAGUUGGUGAGGUAAGGGCUCACCAAGGCGAUGAUACAUAGCCGACCUGAGAGGGUGAUCGGCCACAUUGGGACUGAGACACGGCCCAAACUCCUACGGGAGGCAGCAGUAGGGAAUCUUCGGCAAUAGACGAAAGUCUGACCGAGCAACGCCGCGUGAGUGAAGAAGGUUUUCGGAUCGUAAAACUCUGUUGGUAGAGAAGAACGUUGGUGAGAGUGGAAAGCUCAUCAAGUGACGGUAACUACCCAGAAAGGGACGGCUAACUACGUG
Molecule: ribosomal RNA, 497 nt
Filed under: uncultured bacterium
Lineage: Bacteria
Description: partial 16S ribosomal RNA
Rfam family: Bacterial small subunit ribosomal RNA
Source: RNAcentral